AUAAUGGUUUGGUAAAAAGAGGUAGAAGUAGAAGAAAGAAGCUCCACUUUCUCUUUCUCUUCCUAUAUAUUCCUCUCUUCACAGCACAUCACAGCACAUUGACCAGUGUUGAGAAUAUAUGGAAAGCUCUAGAGAGAUGAAUAAGGAGUUGGCAGCACCACUGCUAGUGCCAAGAAAGAGUGGUGAUGGGCAAGAGAAUAAUAAUAAUAAUGGAGUGGAGGUGGUGGCAUCAUCAUCAGAGAGUACAUUUUGCCAAGAGUUGAAGAGAGUAAGCUCCAUGGCGGCUCCAAUGGUGGCAGUCACGGUGUCUCAGUACCUUCUACAAGUUGUUUCUUUGAUGAUGGUGGGACAUUUUGGGAUACUGGUCUCCUUCUCUGGGGUUGCUAUUGCUACCUCUUUUGCUGAAGUCACCGGAUUCAGCGUCCUUUUGGGAAUGUCCGGUGCAUUGGAAACUUUAUGUGGGCAAACCUAUGGUGCGGAAGAGUAUAGGAAGUUUGGAAACUACACUUGGUGUGCGAUUGUGACUCUGACAUUGGUUUGUCUCCCGAUAUCUCUGGUGUGGAUAUUCACUGAUAAAAUACUGUUGCUGUUUAGUCAAGACCCUGAGAUUUCUCAUGCAGCUCGUGAGUACUGCAUAUACCUCAUUCCAGCUCUAUUUGGUCAUGCUGUUCUUCAAGCUCUCACUCGCUACUUCCAGACUCAGAGUAUGAUCUUUCCCAUGGUUUUCAGCUCAAUCACCGCACUGUGUUUGCAUGUUCCUAUUUGUUGGGGUCUGGUUUUUAAGUUGGGACUGGGACACGUUGGAGCUGCAUUAGCCAUUGGAGUCUCGUAUUGGUUGAAUGUGGUUUGGCUUGCAAUUUAUAUGAUCUACUCUCCGGCUUGUCAAAAAACCAAGAUUGUCUUUUCUAGUAAUGCUUUACUUAGCAUUCCAGAGUUCUUGAAAUUAGCUAUCCCUUCUGGACUCAUGUUUUGUUUUGAAUGGUGGUCCUUUGAGGUGCUUACAUUACUUGCGGGAAUUUUGCCUAAUCCUCAACUUGAAACCGCAGUUCUGUCAAUCUGCCUUAACACAACCACAUUGCACUACUUUAUUCCUUAUGCCGUGGGAGCCUCUGCAAGCACUCGGGUUUCAAAUGAACUAGGGGCAGGGAAUCCAAAGACAGCAAAAGGUGCUGUUCGUGUGGUAGUGAUUCUCGGGGUGGCAGAGGCAGCUAUUGUGAGCACUGUGUUCAUUAGUUGCCGACAUGUAUUAGGAUACGCGUACAGCAAUGAUAAGGAGGUAAUCGAUUACGUUGCAGAGAUGGCUCCACUCUUGUGUGUGUCUGUUACUGCCGAUAGUCUAAUUGGAGCACUAUCAGGGAUUGCGAGAGGGGGAGGAUUUCAGGAAAUAGGGGCUUAUGUGAACCUGGGAGCCUAUUAUCUUGUGGGAAUUCCAAUGGGUUUGUUAUUGGGUUUUCAUCUGCAACUAAGAGCCAAGGGCCUUUGGAUGGGAACUCUAUCAGGCUCUCUUACACAAGUCAUUAUUCUUGCUAUUGUAACAGCACUAAUAGAUUGGCAAAAAGAGGCAACUAAAGCCAGGGAGAGAGUAGUUGAGAACUCAAUUAAAGCUCACAUUUGAUGUAUUCCUAUCGAGUUUAAGAAAACUGAAAAAUAAAUGACUGCAAGUGCUCACAAUCGAAGUCUUUUUGGUUUCUGCAUUGACUGUGAUCAGCAGUGGAGUGGAAAGAUAGUAUGGUGAAUGGUGCCGUGGAGACCUGCAAGGAGAGUUUCCAUAGGUUUGAUAAAUACCUAAACUUUAGUAAUCCACUGAUUUCCAACAACUUCAGUCCUGAUGCGUGUGGCUGGGCAUUUGGCAUGAAUAUGUUUGACUUGAAGGAGUGGAAGAAACGAAACAUCACUGGUAUCUAUCAUCAUGAAUGAGGAUAUAACCCUCUGGAAGAUUGGAACCUUACCCCCAUGACUAAUCACCUUUUACAAGAGAUAGAAUGGAAACUACAAGCCAUGGUUGAAUCUUGCUGUUUCCAAAUAUAAAUCGUACUGGUCCAGAUAUGCUGUGUUCGAUAAUCCAUAUCUUCGAGUUUGCAACCUUAGCGAAUAGUGAUUUUUGAGAAUGCUACCACACUACUCUACGUAAUAUAGUUGUGUCUUUCAAGAGAGACUGAAAUGAUUAAAACGUCAAUUUUGUCCUGAAA
This is an RNA transcript of Glycine soja, 2189 nucleotides long. It is a transcript of the gene named protein DETOXIFICATION 9-like, with no coding region annotated. The record is from RefSeq and is a predicted model, not a curated record. Lineage: Eukaryota; Viridiplantae; Streptophyta; Magnoliopsida; Fabales; Fabaceae. The transcript has 8 exons.